GACGAACGCUGGCGGCGUGCCUAAUACAUGCAAGUCGAGCGCAGGAAGCCGUCUGAACCCUUCGGGGGGACGACGGUGGAAUGAGCGGCGGACGGGUGAGUAACACGUAAAGAACCUGCCCAUAGGUCUGGGAUAACCACGAGAAAUCGGGGCUAAUACCGGAUGUGUCAGCGGACCGCAUGGUCCGCUGAUGAAAGGCGCUCCGGCGUCGCCCAUGGAUGGCUUUGCGGUGCAUUAGCUAGUUGGUGGGGUAACGGCCCACCAAGGCGACGAUGCAUAGCCGACCUGGGAGGGUGAUCGGCCACACUGGGACUGAGACACGGCCCAGACUCCUACGGGAGGCAGCAGUAGGGAAUCUUCCACAAUGGACGAAAGUCUGAUGGAGCAACGCCGCGUGAACGAUGAAGGCUUUCGGGUCGUAAAGUUCUGUUGUAAGGGAAGAACAAGUGCCGCAGGCAAUGGCGGCACCUUGACGGUACCUUGCGAGAAAGCCACGGCUAACUACGUGCCAGCCGCCGCAGUAA
RNAcentral lists this ribosomal RNA (524 nucleotides) under uncultured bacterium. Its description in RNAcentral is "partial 16S ribosomal RNA". It matches the Rfam family "Bacterial small subunit ribosomal RNA", at positions 28 to 523 of the family's 1533-position model. The record is from RNAcentral.